RNAcentral lists this ribosomal RNA (818 nucleotides) under uncultured eukaryote. RNAcentral's name for it is "SSU rRNA". It matches the Rfam family "Eukaryotic small subunit ribosomal RNA", at positions 629 to 1426 of the family's 1831-position model. The record is from RNAcentral.
CGGUGUUUAACUGGCGUGAUGUGGGACGUCCUACCGGUGGGCUUAGCCUCGCGAGGGGCGGCCCAACUAAUAUCCCGUCGCGGUGCUCUUUACUGAGUGUCGAGUCGGGCCGGUACGUUUACUUUGAACAAAUUAGAGUGCUUAAAGCAGGCUAUCCUCGCCUGAAUACUGCGUGCAUGGAAUAAUGGAAUAGGACCUCGGUUCUAUUUUGUUGGUUUUCGGAACCCCGAGGUAAUGAUUAAUAGGGACAGAUGGGGGCAUUCGUAUUGCGACGUUAGAGGUGAAAUUCUUGGAUCGUCGCAAGACGGACAGAAGCGAAAGCAUUUGCCAAAAAUGUUUUCAUUAAUCAAGAACGAAAGUUAGAGGUUCGAAGGCGAUCAGAUACCGCCCUAGUUCUAACCAUAAACGAUGCCAGCUAGCGAUCCGCCGAAGUUCCUCCGAUGACUCGGCGGGCAGCUUCCGGGAAACCAAAGCUUUUGGGUUCCGGGGGAAGUAUGGUUGCAAAGCUGAAACUUAAAGGAUUUGACGGAGGGCACCACCGGGAGUGGAGCAUGCGGCUUAAUUUGACUCAACACGGGAAACCUCACCACGCCCAGACACCGGAAGGAUUGACAGAUUGAUAGCUCUUUCUUGAUUCGGUGGGGGGUGGUGCAUGGCCGUUCUUAGUUGGUGGAGCGAGUUGUCUGGUUAAUUCCGAUAACGAACGAGACUCUAGCCUGCUAAAUAGGCGUACCUUAUGGUAUCACGAAGGCCCCCGGCUUCGGCCGGUGGGUUUUUACUACCAACGUACAAACAAAUCUUCUUAGAGGGACAGGCGG